RNAcentral lists this transfer RNA (86 nucleotides) under Blastocatellia bacterium. Its description in RNAcentral is "tRNA-Ser". It matches the Rfam family "tRNA". Rfam says of the family: Transfer RNA (tRNA) molecules are approximately 80 nucleotides in length. Lineage: Bacteria; Pseudomonadati; Acidobacteriota; Blastocatellia. The record is from RNAcentral.
GGAGGGUUAGGUUAAUUGGUAAACCACCAGUCUUGAAAACUGGCGUCCGAAAGGACUUGGGGGUUCGAGUCCCUCACCCUCCGCCA